CCUACGGGAGGCAGCAGUAGGGAAUAUUGCUCAAUGGGGGAAACUCUGAUGCAGCAACGCCGCGUGAAGGAAGAAGGCUUUCGGGUUGUAAACUUCUUUUAAGGGGGAAGAGCAGAAGACGGUACCCCUUGAAUAAGCCACGGCUAACUACGUGCCAGCAGCCGCGGUAAUACGUAGGUGGCAAGCGUUGUCCGGAUUUACUGGGUGUAAAGGGCGUGCAGCCGGAGGGACAAGUCAGAUGUGAAAUCCACGGGCUCAACCCGUGAACUGCAUUUGAAACUGUUUCCCUUGAGUGUCGGAGAGGCAAUCGGAAUUCCUAGUGUAGCGGUGAAAUGCGUAGAUAUAAGGAAGAACACCAGUGGCGAAGGCGGAUUACUGGACGAUAACUGACGGUGAGGCGCGAAAGCGUGGGGAGCAAACAGGAUUAGAUACCCGGGUAGUC
RNAcentral lists this ribosomal RNA (442 nucleotides) under uncultured bacterium. RNAcentral's name for it is "partial 16S ribosomal RNA". It matches the Rfam family "Bacterial small subunit ribosomal RNA", at positions 338 to 795 of the family's 1533-position model. The record is from RNAcentral.